UGACUGAGACGGGCGAUCGCGCUGCACGAGCCGAAAGGCUGUGCGGGGAGGAAAGUCCGGGCUUCACAGGGCAGGAUAACGGGUAACACCCGCCGGAGGCGACUCCCGGGAAAGUGCAACAGAGAGAUACCGCCUGUCUUUGACAGGUAAGGGUGGAAAGGCGAGGUAAGAGCUCACCGGCUGCCCGGGUAACCGAGCAGUCCUGUAAACCCUAUUCGGAGCAACACCGCAAAAGAGCGCGAUGAGUCGGCCCGACUCGCUCAGAGGUGGCACGAGGCGUGCGGCAACGUGCGUCCCAGAUAGAUGAUCGCCACGGCGCAUAAGCGUCGGACAGAACCCGGCUUACAGGCUCAGUCACUCA
Molecule: RNase P RNA, 361 nt
Filed under: Clostridia bacterium
Lineage: Bacteria; Bacillati; Bacillota; Clostridia
Description: RNase P RNA component class A
Rfam family: Bacterial RNase P class A
About the family: Ribonuclease P (RNase P) is a ubiquitous endoribonuclease, found in archaea, bacteria and eukarya as well as chloroplasts and mitochondria. Its best characterised activity is the generation of mature 5'-ends of tRNAs by cleaving the 5'-leader elements of precursor-tRNAs. Cellular RNase Ps are ribonucleoproteins.
Source: RNAcentral